RNAcentral lists this ribosomal RNA (680 nucleotides) under uncultured spirochete. RNAcentral's name for it is "bacterial SSU rRNA". It matches the Rfam family "Bacterial small subunit ribosomal RNA", at positions 59 to 726 of the family's 1533-position model. The record is from RNAcentral. Lineage: Bacteria; Pseudomonadati; Spirochaetota; Spirochaetia; Spirochaetales.
AAGUCGAGCGGUAAGCCGUAGUAAUACGGCCUAGAGCGGCGGACUGGUGAGUAACGCGUGAGUGACNUACCCCCGGGGGCGGGGAUAGCCGCUAGAAAUAGCGGGUAAUACCGGAUAGAGUCGUGCGGCGGAGGUCGUGCGAGGAAAGGAGCCGAGGCUCCGCCCGGGGNAUGGGCUCGCGUCCGAUUAUGCUAGUUGGUGCGGUAAAGGCGCACCAAGGCUGAGACCGGUAACCGGCCUGAGAGGGUGGACGGUCACAUUGGGACUGAGAUACGGCCCAAACUCCUACGGGAGGCAGCAGCUAAGAAUAUUCCGCAAUGGCCGGAAGGCUGACGGAGCGACGCCGCGUGGACGAAGGAGGCCGAAAGGUUGUAAAGUUCUUUUCCGCUUGAAGAAUAAAGGAGAGAGGGAAUGCUCUCCAGAUGACGGUAGAGCGGGAAUAAGCCCCGGCUAAUUACGUGCCAGCAGCCGCGGUAACACGUAAGGGGCGAGCGUUGUUCGGAAUCAUUGGGCGUAAAGGGCGCGUAGGCGGCGCUGUAAGUCCGGCGUGAAAGGUGGAGGCUCAACUUCCACAUUGCGUUGGAAACUGGAGCGCUAGAGUCUGGGAGGUGGAGCUGGAAUUCCGAGUGGAGGGGUGAAAUCUGUAGAUAUUCGGAAGAACACCGGAGGCGAAGGCGAGC